Molecule: ribosomal RNA, 468 nt
Filed under: uncultured bacterium
Lineage: Bacteria
Description: partial 16S ribosomal RNA
Rfam family: Bacterial small subunit ribosomal RNA (bases 56-468)
Source: RNAcentral
GGGGGGGGGGGGGGGGGGGGGUGGGGGGGGGGGGGCGGGGGGGGGGGCGCUGGUGUGGGGGGGUGCGCGGGUGGCGAACGGGGGAGUGACGCGUGGGUGACCUGGCCUUGAGUUUGGGAUACCUUCAGGAAACUGGGGCUAAUACCGGAUAGGAGCUGCUGCUGCCUGGGGGGGGUGGGAAAGGUUGGGCGGUUGGGGAUGGACUCGCGUCUUAUCAGCUUGUUGGUGGGGUAGUGGCUUAUCAAGGCUUUGACGGGGAGCCGGCCUGAGAGGGUGACCAGCCACAUUGGGACUGAGAUACGGCCCAGACUCCUACGGGAGGCAGCAGUGGGGAAUAUUGCACAAUGGGCGUAAGCCUGAUGCAGCAACGCCGCGUGCGGGAUGACGGCCUUCGGGUUGUAAACCGCUUUCGCCUGUGACGAAGCGUGAGUGACGGUAAUGGGUAAAGAAGCACCGGCUAACUACGUG